UUCAUUCUAACCGGAUACUAUUAUUAUGUUAGAACUUUCUUUACAUAAAAAGUAGUCCCACGCUUGACAUGACACCAAGGGAUAGUCCUUUUAUCAACUGGACAAUAAUUCUUUCUUUAACUUGUCAACAUCUUAAUUAGAUCAUGUUUCACUAGAAAAUUUUGAUUAUGUUUAUGAAGUCUAAUUGCAGAUGGUACUUUUACACCCUCUCCUUAGUCUCUACUCUAGUAGUUAUUGGAUUAGCAUGUGGUUGGGCACUAAGCACAAAAGUAUGGGCCCUUUCAGAGGUUCUCUUUUAAGGCUUAUGGGGCAAUGGUGCUUCCCACUUUCACCAGC
Molecule: long non-coding RNA, 336 nt
Filed under: Panax ginseng (ginseng)
Lineage: Eukaryota; Viridiplantae; Streptophyta; Magnoliopsida; Apiales; Araliaceae
Description: long non-coding RNA (PGIN_LNC011549)
Source: RNAcentral